This is a long non-coding RNA of Arabidopsis lyrata subsp. lyrata, 502 nucleotides long. RefSeq lists it as uncharacterized. Lineage: Eukaryota; Viridiplantae; Streptophyta; Magnoliopsida; Brassicales; Brassicaceae. The record is from RefSeq and is a predicted model, not a curated record. The transcript has 2 exons.
CCUCAUCUCUUCUCUCUCUCUCGCUCUCUCACGUUGAUCGGCGAGUAUUCCGAUUUCAAAUCUCGAUUCCGAUUUCAAAUCUCGAUUCCGAUUACAGAUCUCGAUCUCGCUCUCAUUUCAGAUCUCUUCUCUCUGUUCCGAUUUUGCUUUUCCUUCUGUUUUCGAGUCCCACAUCGAUUCCAGGUUGAAGCAAAACACCUCAAGACCAGCAUCCUCGAUGUAGUCAAUCACGUAAAGUCGCUGCAGUUUUGGGCAUUGCUAAGAAGCUUGACAAGAUGAAUCAAACAUGUCCAAACUCUCCUAACUCGUCUUCUGAUACGAUUCCAUUAGUUGGAAAAGAAGAAAAUUUGAUGAUGAUUUCGUUACAUGUUGUUAUGUACCAAAAAGUUUUUACUCAACUUUUAUGUGUCUUUUGUAAGUUUGUAACUUAAGAAAAUUCCAUGUAACACUAUUGAUUGUUAUAUUUAGUGCUUUAAUUGUUAAAGUGAUUGCUAUUAUUAUA